RNAcentral lists this long non-coding RNA (2725 nucleotides) under Homo sapiens (human). RNAcentral's name for it is "uncharacterized LOC105375690, transcript variant 5 (LOC105375690)". The record is from RNAcentral. Lineage: Eukaryota; Metazoa; Chordata; Mammalia; Primates; Hominidae.
ACUCGCCGAGGGGGAGGGGCUGGAAGAUGGCGGCGGACGCACACCCACCCGACCGCGACAGAGCUUAGGCCCCUAGCCCGCGCCGCCGCCCGCUGCUCGCAGCCACUGUGGGCAGCCCUGCUCUGUCCCGCGUUGCUGGUAGAGCCGCCCCGCGGAGGCGUGGGACCAGGGUGGCGUCCGCAUCCCCUGCCAGCGCGCCUUCGCCCGGGUCCGUCCAGGGAGCACCUGUGCACGGCCAUAUUGGAUUCUGUGCCCCAGUCACUGCCUCAGCGCGGCGGGAAAGGAGAGGAGUUCAACAAUUUUUAUGAAUUUCUAAUCCAACCUCAUCAUCCUAUGGGAAACAGAAGACCACCAAGAACAGCCAGCUGAUGGAAUCUCAUUCUGUCACCAGGCUGAAGUGCAGUGACGUGAUCUUGGCUCACUGCAACCUCCACCUCCUGGGUUCAAGCGAUUCUCCUGCCUCAGCCUCCUGAGUAGCUGGGAUUACAGGUAUCUUGGCAGUAACCUCCUCCAUAUAUUUCCUUGGCCCUCAGCUUACAUCUAGCAAAAUGACUCUACUGGUUCCAGGCUUCACAUGCAUACAACAUGGUGUUGGAGGAACAGAGAUGUUUUCUCUUCCUGGUGUUUUCCCAGACAUUUCUUAGCUGGCAUUUCAAACAAGGGUCCUGAAAUUCACCCUGGUUGGGUCGUGUUCUCCCCUUCCCAUUCCCCAUCCCCACCCUCAACCGAAAAAUGAUGUAAGCAGGGGAAAUUGAAUGUACCAAUGUUUGUUUUUAAACAAGCCACAGACCCCUCCCCAACUCCCCGACUGAAGCUUGAAGUGGGAUCAGCUUUCCCUAAAGUACUUGAGCUUAUGGUAAAGCAUAUAUGUUAUCCAAGUUAAAGUCUGGACGCUGUUAGUAAUGGGAAGGCAAGUAAUGAAUGUUAGCUAUGGAGCCAACAGACAGUGUCCACUCCAUUGUCUUUAAGGCCCAACUAAAGAUAACCUCUUUACCAAUGUCGGUUUAUUUAUUCAUUUAUUUAUUCAUUGAGAUGGAGUCUCACUCUCUCACCCAAGCUGGAGUGCAGUGGAAUGAUCUCAGCUGACUGCAAUUUCUGCCUCCCAGGUUCAAGCAAUCUCCUGCUUCAGCCUCCCAAGUAGCUGGGAUUACAGGCGCACACCACCAUGCCCGGCUAAUUUUUGUAUUUUUAGUAGAGAUAGGGUUUCACCAUGUUGGCCAAGCUGGUCUCGGACACCUGACCUCAAGUGAUCUGCCUGCCUCGGCCCCCAAAGGUGUGAGCCACUGCACCUGGCUACAAUGUCAGUUUCUAUAAAAACUGCCUUGACUUGUUUUGUUUGCUUGUUUUGUUUGUUUGUGUUUUAAUUUUUAUUAUUUUUUUUUAGAGACAGGGUCUCAAUCUGUUGUCUAGGCUUGAGUGCAGUGGUGCAAUCAUAGCUCACUGAAGUGUUGGACUCCCAGGCUCAAGCAGUCCUCCCACCUCAGCCUCCCAAGUAGCUGAGACUACAGGCAUGCACCACCCUGUCUGGCUAAUUUUUUAUUUUUAGUAGAGAUGAGGUCUCACUAUGUUGCCCAAGGUGGCCUCAAACUCCUGGCCUCAAGUACUCCUGUGGCCUUAGCCUCCCAAAGCUCUGGGAUUGCAGGUAUGAGCCGCCAUGCCUGGCCUACUGUAUAUUUUAUGCAUUUGAUAUAAGUCUUGCCUCCCUAAGUAUAUUACAAGUCCCUUGAAGUUAAAGACAUUAGAUUCCUACUCAGUGCUGAGCUGCAACAGAGAGCACUCAAUGAUGGAUAAAAUAGUUUUAGCAUGCAUUCAGCGAUAUAUAUUUAGAAAGUGGAACUAGGUGGUUGAAAAAAGUGUAUAGAUGGGUGGAAGGGAAUAUUACAGCUCUUAGAAUUGUCCUAAGGUGAGAGUAACAAAUUAAGCAAUGAGUCCCUGGGUUCACUCAAGCAACUUCACUCUCUAAAACAAGAGCCCACAGAAUCCCAUUUCUGCUUUCAGAAUGAGUUUGAGGCCAAUAUUAUUUCCAUUUUUUUUCUUUUUCUUUCUUUCUUUUUUUUUUUUUUUUUUUUGAGACGGAGUUUCACUCUUGUUGCCCAGGCUGUUUUGAUCUCGGCUCACUGCAACCUCUGCCCCUGGGUUCAAGCGAUUCUCCUGUCUCAACCUCCCAAGCUGGGAUUACAAGCAUGCGCUACCACACCUGGCUAAUUUUGUAUUUUUAAUAGAGACGGGGUUUCUCUGUGUUGGUCAGGCUGGUCUCAAACUCCCAACCUCAGGUGAUCUGCCCACCUUGGCCCAGCCUCCAAUAUGAUUUUCUAAUAGCUGUGUUUGAUGAUUAUAUUUAUUCCUCCAUCAGUAGCUUUUUUAGCCUUGAAAAUAUCUAUUUAAGUUUCUUAUUUCCUUUGGAUCUAUCAAAGUGUUUUUCCCCAAGUGGCACCUGGGAAAACAUAUUCUAUUCAUUUAUUUUAUAACUGUUCCCUUGACCUCUUUAUUGCUUCCCUAUUACAACCCAAGAUGCUCUUGUAAACCUGACUUAAUAUUGGCAGUCUUCAUCCCUUGCAAAUGGAAGUGAUGACAGACCCAAUACUUUGUGUAAAAAUAUUUUGCUAUUUCUAUACAAAAUAUUUUAUUAAUGGAAACCACAUGUUAUGUAUUUUACAUAUGUUAUGACUUGAAAUUUAUGUUAUGACUUGAAAUUGGGGAAUCUGAUAUGUCUCUAAUAAUAAAG